Molecule: long non-coding RNA, 603 nt
Organism: Drosophila miranda
Lineage: Eukaryota; Metazoa; Arthropoda; Insecta; Diptera; Drosophilidae
Exons: 2
Source: RefSeq, a predicted model, not a curated record
GCACAUUUUGUCGAGACAGUUUUGUUUAUGCUGCAAAAAUAAUUUAUUUAUGCGAUUUGCAGCAAUGACAAAGCGUGUGGUGUGGAUUGCUUGGGUAGCCCCAAACUACAGCUGUGAUCGAUUGCAACAGCUGCAAAUCGAUAGACACUGGGCGCGCAAAUUGGAUCAUUUGAAGUGGGCAAGGCGCGAAGCGCACAGCUACAACAUAAUGCCCAAAAUCAGUACUCACUUGCAGAGUCGAGCUGCGCUGAUGAGUUGCGGUCCACAGGCAGUACCAGAAUCGGGCGUAAACCUGUGAUAUUUCGAUAACUGCAAAUUUCCAACAUAGACAAUAAUAUAAUUUUAGAAAUGUGUCUACCAGAGCCGUGUGACAUAAAUUGAAAAAACUUGUGUGUGUUAUUAAUCAAAAGGCACACUUUCAGUUUAUUAUUAUUAAUACGAUACAAUUUAAAAAUUCAUUUAGUAACAACUACGGCAUUGUAAAGACAAGUUAACAACAACUGGCCGGGGAGGGGAAGAGCGGUUGGGUGGUUAGCUCUGAGCAGCUGACAAUGGUUAGACAAUACACAUAAAUAAUUACUCGUGUAAACAUUUAAAAAAAAA